UCAAAUUUCUGCCCUAUCAACUUUCGAUGGUAGGAUAGUGGCCUACAUGGUCUUAACGGGUACGGGAAUUAGGGUUCUAUUCCGGAGAGGGAGCCUGAGAAACGGCUACCACAUCCAAGGAAGGCAGCAGGCGCGCAAAUUACCCAAUCCCAAUACGGGGAGGUAGUGACAAUAAAUAUAUACGGGGCUCUUUUGGGUCUCGUAAUUGAAAUGAGUACAAUCUAAAUCCCUUAACGAGGAACAAUUGGAGGGCAAGUCUGGUGCCAGCAGCCGCGGUAUUCCAGCUCCAAUACCCGUAUAUUAAAGUUGUUGCCGUUAAAAAGCUCGUAAGUUGAACUUUGGGUCUGGGCUGAUCUGUCCUCCUAAUCGAGGCGCACGGAUUCGGUCGGACCCUUUCCUUCUGGGGAGCCAUAUGCCCUUCACUGGGCGUAGUGGGGAACCAGGAAUUUUUACCUUGAAAAAAAUUAGAGUGU
This 473-nucleotide ribosomal RNA is filed under the name uncultured fungus. RNAcentral describes it as "SSU rRNA". It matches the Rfam family "Eukaryotic small subunit ribosomal RNA", at positions 299 to 774 of the family's 1831-position model. Lineage: Eukaryota; Fungi. The record is from RNAcentral.